Molecule: transfer RNA, 71 nt
Filed under: Loxodonta africana (African savanna elephant)
Lineage: Eukaryota; Metazoa; Chordata; Mammalia; Proboscidea; Elephantidae
Rfam family: tRNA
About the family: Transfer RNA (tRNA) molecules are approximately 80 nucleotides in length. Their secondary structure includes four short double-helical elements and three loops (D, anti-codon, and T loops).
Source: Rfam by way of RNAcentral
ACAUUAGUGGUUCAGUGGUAGAAUUCUUACCUUCCAUUUGGGAGUCCUGGCUUCAAUUGCCAGCCAAUAUA